RNAcentral lists this unclassified non-coding RNA (218 nucleotides) under uncultured Thelephoraceae. RNAcentral's name for it is "sequence contains ITS2". The record is from RNAcentral. Lineage: Eukaryota; Fungi; Basidiomycota; Agaricomycetes; Thelephorales; Thelephoraceae.
ACACCUCAACUCUCAUGGCUUGCCAUGAUGAGCUUGGACUUUGGGGGUCUUGCUGGCCGGUGGUCGGCUCCUCUUAAAUGGAUCAGCUUGCCAGUGUUUGGCGGCACCACAGGUGUGAUAACUAUCUACGCUUGUGGUUUCCUGCCAGGUAUCCUUCAGUGAUGGAGGUUCGCUGGAGCUCAUAAAUGUCUCUCCGCAGCGAGGACAACCCCUUGAAU